RNAcentral lists this ribosomal RNA (253 nucleotides) under uncultured bacterium. RNAcentral describes it as "partial 16S ribosomal RNA". It matches the Rfam family "Bacterial small subunit ribosomal RNA", at positions 524 to 776 of the family's 1533-position model. The record is from RNAcentral.
UACGGGGGGGGCAAGCGUUGUUCGGAAUUACUGGGCGUAAAGGGCUCGUAGGCGGCCAACUAAGUCGGAUGUGAAAUCCCCAGGCUCAACUUGGGAACUGCAUCCGAUACUGGAUGGCUUGAAUUCGGGAGAGGGAUGCAGAAUUCCAGGUGUAGCGGUGAAAUGCGUAGAUAUCAGGAAGAACACCCGUGGCGAAGGCGGCUCUCUGGGACGGUACUGACGCUGAGACGCGAAAGCGUGGGGAGCAAACAGG